UUUCCGUAGGUGAACCUGCGGAAGGAUCAUUACCGAGUGAGGGCCCUCUGGGUCCAACCUCCCACCCGUGGUUAUCGUACCUUGUUGCUUCGGCGGGCCCGCCGUAAGGCCGCCGGGGGGUAUCUGCCCUCUGGCCCGCGCCCGCCGAAGACACCAUUGAACGCUGUCUGAAGAUUGCAGUCUGAGCAAUUAGUUAAAUAACUUAAAACUUUCAACAACGGAUCUCUUGGUUCCG
Molecule: unclassified non-coding RNA, 235 nt
Filed under: plant metagenome
Description: partial contains small subunit ribosomal RNA, internal transcribed spacer 1, and 5.8S ribosomal RNA
Source: RNAcentral